Molecule: ribosomal RNA, 430 nt
Filed under: Pseudomonadota bacterium
Lineage: Bacteria; Pseudomonadati; Pseudomonadota
Description: Proteobacteria bacterium partial 16S ribosomal RNA
Rfam family: Bacterial small subunit ribosomal RNA
Source: RNAcentral
UGGGGAAUAUUGGACAAUGGGGGGAACCCUGAUCCAGCCAUGCCGCGUGUGUGAAGAAGGCCUUAUGGUUGUAAAGCACUUUAAGCGAGGAGGAGGGUACUGGUAUUAAUACUACCAGCUACUGGACGUUACUCGCAGAAUAAGCACCGGCUAACUCUGUGCCAGCAGCCGCGGUAAUACAGAGGGUGCGAGCGUUAAUCGGAUUUACUGGGCGUAAAGCGUGCGUAGGCGGCUAAUUGAGUCGGAUGUGAAAUCCCCGAGCUUAACUUGGGAAUUGCAUUCGAUACUGGUUAGCUAGAGUGUGGGAGAGGAUGGUAGAAUUCCAGGUGUAGCGGUGAAAUGCGUAGAGAUCUGGAGGAAUACCGAUGGCGAAGUCAGCCAUCUGGCCUAACACUGACGCUGAGGUACGAAAGCAUGGGGAGCAAACAGG